This 1524-nucleotide long non-coding RNA is filed under the name Coturnix japonica (Japanese quail). Its description in RNAcentral is "lncRNA (ENSCJPG00005018387.1)". Lineage: Eukaryota; Metazoa; Chordata; Aves; Galliformes; Phasianidae. The record is from RNAcentral.
GGAAGUUCUUAAGUGUUGCAUUUUUUUCCACUCUAAUUAGUUCAGUUUUCUUCUGUCAUGUUAUUCUGUAUCUACCAAAAAUCCUUAAAUUAAUGAAAAGAAAUCUUCUUGGCAGCUGCAAAAUUCUUCCACCUGUAGACAGACUAUACAUUUCUUUGCUGAGAAAUAUUUAUUACCUCUGAACAGGUAGAAGAUCCUUUUUACUUUAACCAAUUCAGGUAGAAUAUGUAGACCCCAGACAAGUGAUAAGUAAGCAAGAAGGUUUUAGUUAACAUGAACAUUUAAUUAACAUAAAAAUCCAUUCUGCCCAUAUCUCUGUAAUCACUAUAAUCUGACAAGAGGUAAACCUGUUCUCUCAGUGAGGUUCAGCUACUGAAUCACCCAGUGAGAGCUCAUCCCAGUAUAUCCAUAGUCCCAGAAGGGCUCAUUAUGAUACAAAAUUCCUCUGGCACUCUGAAAUGCCCACCCCAAAUAUAUGCUCUCUCUUAUGUUAUUCAUUGUUCUUGCUGCAGUCAAAUAAUUGUUGAUGGUGUCAAAAUGUGUUCCUGUCACCUGUACUGCCCAGAAGUACUGUGACAUAACGCAAGUCAGUUCAGACGUUCUCCUUCUGUGCCAGGCAACCUGAGCGUAACCUGAAAUAAAUGAUUACUCUAUACUCUUCUACCAAAGGCUCCAGAGCUAAAUAAACAAAAAGGAGACAAGGGCAGUCCUGCCCCACAGAAUAUUCAUAUUUUUUUCCUAGCAUCUUUACAAUAUUGAGAUUCAUCACAUAUAUACAGGCAGAACUUUCAGACAUCUCAUACAUCAAGAAGGAUGACCUUUCUUAGGAUGGAUAUGUUAGCCCCUGAGAAGAAAGCACAUGAAGAGAAAGAAGAUUUGCAACAAUAUCAUCAGAAACCUGCAAACUGCAAGAAACUGCUUAGGAAUUGCUGCUUGGUGAAACGAUUUUUUGCCUGGAAAAGUUUGAGCACUAAAGGUACCUUUCCUAUUGAAUUUCUCAGUGUAGGGGAAACUGUUGUCUUCCCAAGAAUUCUUUUUUUUUUUUUAUAGAGGUGCUACUGAAUUUAGCAUCAAUCACAUUACAGGUACAAAAGUCUCUACUGUCUUGGAUCUAUUGUGCACAGAGAUUAGAAAUGGUGCAGCUUUGAUUGAAGGUGCUUUAUCCUAAUGUGACAUAAUUAAUUGUACUGCAUGAGCAUUCUUUUUGCAGCUCAUCAAAAUACAUCAUCUACAGAAAAGACCGGCAGAAAAAAAGAAAUCCUUCAAUCAUAAGCUAAAUGACUAAAUGUAAAAUCACAGUAAUUAAAUUCAUCAGUUUAUUAGGGCUCAGCCCCCAAAGCUGUUUUGAUGUUUAAAAACUGCUUUGAUCAUUGUCAGGGUAUAUUUACAUAGAAAUUACACGAUCAAUUCCUUUGUCUUAGAGGAAAUAGAGAAAGGUAAUUUUUAUACAUAAUGAUGCUGUAUACUGUACUUAUUAAUAAUUAUUAAAAUAAAUGCUUCUAUUUAAAUUGGAACUUGGCUGUG